AGAAUCAACGCUGGCGGCGUGCCUAACACAUGCAAGUCGAACGGGAAAGUGGAGCAAUCCAUGAGUAUAGUGGCGACCGGGUGAGUAACACGUGACUAACCUACCCUUGAGUGGGGGAUAACCUCGGGAAACCGGGGCUAAUACCGCAUAACAUCUUCGGGAUGAGAAGCUGAAGAUCAAAGGAGCAAUUCGCUUUCGGAGGGGGUCGCGGCUGAUUAGCUAGUUGGCGGGUAACGCCCACCAAGGCUUUGAUCGGUA
Molecule: ribosomal RNA, 258 nt
Filed under: uncultured bacterium
Lineage: Bacteria
Description: partial small subunit ribosomal RNA
Rfam family: Bacterial small subunit ribosomal RNA
Source: RNAcentral